RNAcentral lists this ribosomal RNA (258 nucleotides) under Triticum aestivum (bread wheat). Its description in RNAcentral is "partial small subunit ribosomal RNA". The record is from RNAcentral. Lineage: Eukaryota; Viridiplantae; Streptophyta; Magnoliopsida; Poales; Poaceae.
AUGUGUUCUAUUUGUGGGGUUGAAGAUGAAGACAUCUUUCAUGCUCUGGUGAGUUGUUCUAAAGCUCGUGCUCUUCGAAUGGAAGUAAGAGAGCGGUGGAAUAUUCCGGAUGAAGAGUUCUUCAAGUGCACGGGACCAGAUUGGUUAUUGAUUUUACUGGCGCAACUGGGUUUGCGGCAGAGGGAUCAAAUCAUGUUUCUUUUCUGGCGAGCAUGGCACUUGAGAAACGAUUUAAUUUUUAGGAAUGGGAAAGAAUCC